AACGAACGCUGGCGGCAUGCCUAACACAUGCAAGUCGAACGAGAUCUUCGGGUCUAGUGGCGCACGGGUGCGUAACGCGUGGGAAUCUGCCCUUUGGUUCGGAAUAACAGUUGGAAACGACUGCUAAUACCGGAUGAUGACGAAAGUCCAAAGAUUUAUCGCCAGAGGAUGAGCCCGCGUAGGAUUAGCUAGUUGGUGUGGUAAAGGCGCGCCAAGGCGACGAUCCUUAGCUGGUCUGAGAGGAUGAUCAGCCACACUGGGACUGAGACACGGCCCAGACUCCUACGGGGGGCAGCAGUGGGGAAUAUUGGACAAUGGGCGAAAGCCUGAUCCAGCAAUGCCGCGUGAGUGAUGAAGGCCUUAGGGUUGUAAAGCUCUUUUACCCGGGAUGAUAAUGACAGUACCGGGAGAAUAAGCUCCGGCUAACUCCGUGCCAGCAGCCGCAGUAA
RNAcentral lists this ribosomal RNA (449 nucleotides) under uncultured bacterium. RNAcentral's name for it is "partial 16S ribosomal RNA". It matches the Rfam family "Bacterial small subunit ribosomal RNA", at positions 29 to 523 of the family's 1533-position model. The record is from RNAcentral.